Molecule: non-coding RNA, 1212 nt
Organism: Paramuricea clavata
Lineage: Eukaryota; Metazoa; Cnidaria; Anthozoa; Malacalcyonacea; Plexauridae
Source: the annotation of a GenBank genome assembly
GUCGAAAAGUUAUUAUUUCAUACACCACAAAAGAAAAUAAACUACUCAACAUAAAGUAAUAUGGGUAUAUACAAGACAAAUAUUCACCCAACAGUAAUUCUUCAAAAGAAAGUAAUACGUAUAAUAACAUUUUCUCAUUAUCGCGAGUCACACACCUCACAAUUUUAAGAGACUUAAGCUCCUGAAAUUUUGUCUUACCUAAUACAACAUUACUUACGCAUAAAUUUAACAACAACAAACUUGCAUAUGAGUUUAUGAACUUUUUUAUCUGUUAGUUGCAAGCAUCAUUAUAUAGUACAAGAAGUUCUGCGAAAUCAUCCUUUUCCCAUUCCCAACCUCGCACUAAUUAUGGAAAGUAUCAGAUUGACGAGUCCAUUAAAUCUCUGAGCGCAUCUUCUUUUAAAAAGAAUUUAAAACAACAGUUAAUUGAUUACUACCAGUUCCGCGUAAUUAGUAUAUGUGUAACAGUCAAUUUCCUUUUUUUUUUGUUUUGUUUUGUCUUGUGUUCUUUUGGUUUCUGUUUUGUUUUGUACUUUGUGUUUUCUUUUGGUUUCUGUUUUGUAUUGUACUUUGUCUUUGUUUUAUUUUUUCGACUUUGUUUUCACCGGCUUCUUGUGACACUCUUUAAAUAAUAGUAUAUUGUAAUAUAUUAAUGACCACCUGUCUCGAUUAGGGACCGGUCAUUAAUAGUGGGACGGGGGGAGGUGGAUAAGAAAAGGAGGGCGGCUUCAACUAUUUUUGUCUGAACUGGGGGCGGCCUCAAAAUGGGAGGUAUGUGUCAAGGGGCAACCCCAAUUUCUUAAUACUUUCCUACUCAUUUUCAAUCUCUCGCCUUUAUCGUAUGCAACAAAAUAGUUCACCAUAGGAAUCCUAUAGUCGUAUCCUAUAGUCACCAUAUAGUUCACCGUAGGAAUCCUAUACCAAUAGUUCACCAUAGGAAUCCUAUAGUCGUAUCCUUUAUCCUAUAGUCGUAGUUUCCACACUUUAUUACGGAUAUGCAGUUCACCAUAGGAAUCGGAGUAAAUAACAACCAUUUUGAAUACUGGUCCUCUAAUUAUUUAGGCUACACAAUGUCUUACACCAGUACUUGUCCCAUUACCUAUUUUACACCAGAAAAUGUAACGAAUUAAAUGUUGGAGUGGGGACUGGGGGGAGUCCUAAAUUUUCUAGAUGAAGGUGGGGGCGUCUUGAAAAUAAAGCUCUUGCGAUCGG